GACACAGCCAGUGCUGGAACCCAAGCAGUGUGGUGGCAGGACCCUACACCUCCGUGCUCAGGUCUCCGGAGGCCUGAAGGCAAAGGAGACAGACAGGCAGACCCAGCCCCCAUACUAGGGCUACCACAGAGCCAUCCCACUGAAUGGACUCCACAGAGUCUGUUCAAAUAGGAAAGUCAAAACUUUCAAAGUUUUCAAGUCAAAGUCAAAACUCAGCAAACAUCCAAAGAGCACAAGCCUGCAAUGACACAACAGAAACCAUGAAGAGCGACCGAUUUAAAUCUCCACAAACUUUCUAAACUGGAAGUGGUAGCUAUAGGAUAUAAAAUUAACCUGUCUCGAGGGUUUAAGAUAUAUUUAAAGGAAAGAAAACUGACCAGGCUUCGCUGUGAAAAACAGGAGAGCCUCUGAAAAUGAAAAACUCACCACAGAAAUUAAAAGGUCAUCAGAAACGUUGAAAUAUGUUUGCCAAAUACACAUAAAAGUCGUUUCAAAACACGUGGCAUGGUUUCACUUCUGUGAGACGUCCAGAAUGGAAAAGCCGAAAAAGAGGAAACGGAGAUUCAUGGGUGCCUCGGCCUGGGAGCAAGAAGGAGUGCGGAGUUUCUGCCAAGGUCAAGGGGUUUCCUUAAAAUCCACGCCUUAUGCAGCAUCCAAAGCCGUGGACUGCCGAAGACGAAAGAAGAUGCUUCAGUAGCCGGCCAGAAAGGGACCUGAGCUCCGCAGAUACAGUUGCUCGCGCCGAGGCGGGGACUGAGGACCCAGGAAACGUGCUCAGACGAAGAGGAACGGUCAGCUAAGAACUUCACGCACAGUUUCCCCAAAAUCAGUGCAAAAUAAAAUUUUCAGAUCAUUAAAA
Molecule: long non-coding RNA, 859 nt
Organism: Mustela lutreola (European mink)
Lineage: Eukaryota; Metazoa; Chordata; Mammalia; Carnivora; Mustelidae
Exons: 2
Source: RefSeq, a predicted model, not a curated record